RNAcentral lists this long non-coding RNA (419 nucleotides) under Vigna radiata. Its description in RNAcentral is "long non-coding RNA (VRAD_LNC017899)". The record is from RNAcentral. Lineage: Eukaryota; Viridiplantae; Streptophyta; Magnoliopsida; Fabales; Fabaceae.
CCGGGUGAAACGAAUCACCAAUGGUUCAGGUAAAGUCAUNCCGGACCCAUCACCAGUUUGUGCAAAUACCUGUUCCUCCUCACUCUUGCAGCAUACCUGCAUCAGACCACGAUCUAACAAGUCUUGCAAAAAUUCUUCAAAUUCGACACACUCCUCAAUAGAAUGUUCAGCAUCUGGGUGGAGCGCGCAUGCCAUACUCCCAUCAUAACCGCCUUUCAAGAUACCCAUUUUAAACAACGUCUCCAAAAUAAACCUCCUGGAGCUCCUGACUUCCCUCACAUUUCUCACCAACUCAUGCUCUUUCACUUCGAUAGCAUUCGUCGAAGCACCUCCAUGCCCGGAUAAAGGAUUGGCCUCAAUACUAGGCUUAUCUUCUUGGAACUUUAACCACCCAGAAUCAAUUAGGGUCUGCACUUUAU